AUGAGAAGGAGUACUUGGCAGUCAUCAUGGCCGUGGAUCAAAUGGCGUCCCUACCUCCAACAUGCUGAGUUCACCAUCCUCACGGACCAACACAGCUUAACACAGCUGACGGGACAGAGGCUUUCAACUCCUUGGCAGCAACGGGCCUUCACUAAACUGUUGGGACUUCGAUACAUCAUCAACUACAAGAAAUGGGCAGAGAACACUGCAGCAGACGCCUUGUCAAGAGCCAACACAACAGAGGUGCUACACACUCUUAGUGUGUGUCAACCGGCUUGGCUCGAAGACAUCGUCAACAUCUACAACACCAACCCGCAGGCGCAACGCCUCCUCGAGCAACUUGUUGUCCGGCAAGACCCAAAAGGACGAUUCUAA
Molecule: ribosomal RNA, 375 nt
Filed under: Triticum aestivum (bread wheat)
Lineage: Eukaryota; Viridiplantae; Streptophyta; Magnoliopsida; Poales; Poaceae
Description: partial small subunit ribosomal RNA
Source: RNAcentral